Molecule: ribosomal RNA, 256 nt
Filed under: uncultured bacterium
Lineage: Bacteria
Description: partial 16S ribosomal RNA
Rfam family: Bacterial small subunit ribosomal RNA
Source: RNAcentral
UACGUAGGGUGCAAGCGUUGUCCGGAAUUAUUGGGCGUAAAGAGCUCGUAGGCGGCUUGUCGCGUCGAAUGUGAAAACCCACGGCUCAACUGUGGGCUUGCAUUCGAUACGGGCAGGCUAGAGUUCGGUAGGGGAGACUGGAAUUCCUGGUGUAGCCGGUGAAAUGCGCAGAUAUCCAGGAGGAACACCGGUGGCGAAGGCGGGGUCUCUGGGCCGAUACUGACGCUGAGGAGCGAAAGCGUGGGGAGCGAACAGG